This 354-nucleotide ribosomal RNA is filed under the name uncultured bacterium. RNAcentral's name for it is "bacterial SSU rRNA". It matches the Rfam family "Bacterial small subunit ribosomal RNA", at positions 32 to 365 of the family's 1533-position model. The record is from RNAcentral.
AAUCAACGCUGGCGGCGUGCCUCAGACAUGCAAGUCGAACGCGAAAUUUCCCUUCGGGGAGAAAGUAGAGUGGCGCACGGGUGAGUAACACGUAGGUAAUCUACCUUCGGAUGGGGAAUAACAGUCGGAAACGGCUGCUAAUACCGCAUAAUGCAGCGGCACCUAAUGGUGACAGUUGUUAAAGCGGGGGAUCGAAAGACCUCGCGUCUGAAGAGGAGCCUGCGGCGGAUUAGCUAGUUGGUAAGGUAAUGGCUUACCAAGGCUACGAUCCGUAACCGGCCUGAGAGGGCGGUCGGUCACACUGACACUGACAUACGGGUCAGACUCCUACGGGAGGCAGCAGUCGGGAAUUUU